This 497-nucleotide ribosomal RNA is filed under the name uncultured bacterium. RNAcentral describes it as "partial 16S ribosomal RNA". It matches the Rfam family "Bacterial small subunit ribosomal RNA", at positions 28 to 507 of the family's 1533-position model. The record is from RNAcentral.
GAUGAACGCUGGCGGCGUGCCUAAUACAUGCAAGUCGAGCGAACGGACGAGAAGCUUGCUUCUCUGAUGUUAGCGGCGGACGGGUGAGUAACACGUGGAUAACCUACCUAUAAGACUGGGAUAACUUCGGGAAACCGUAGCUAAUACCGGAUAAUAUUUUGAACCGCAUGGUUCAAACGUGAAAGACGGUCUUGCUGUCACUUAUAGAUGGAUCCACGCUGCAUUAGCUAGUUGGUAAGGUAACGGCUUACCAAGGCAACGAUGCAUAGCCGACCUGAGAGGGUGAUCGGCCACACUGGAACUGAGACACGGUCCAGACUCCUACGGGAGGCAGCAGUAGGGAAUCUUCCGCAAUGGGCGAAAGCCUGACGGAGCAACGCCGCGUGAGUGAUGAAGGUCUUCGGAUCGUAAAACUCUGUUAUUAGGGAAGAACAUAUGUGUAAGUAACUGUGCACAUCUUGACGGUACCUAAUCAGAAAGCCACGGCUAACUACGUG